This 906-nucleotide ribosomal RNA is filed under the name archaeon HR04. RNAcentral describes it as "bacterial SSU rRNA". It matches the Rfam family "Archaeal small subunit ribosomal RNA", at positions 8 to 922 of the family's 1478-position model. The record is from RNAcentral.
UUGAUCCUGCCGGACCCGACUGCUAUCGGAUUGGGACUAAGCCAUGCGAGUCAACUCCGCAAGGGGUGGCGCACGGCUCAGUAACACGUAGUCAACCUACCCUGGGGACGGGGAUAACCUCGGGAAACUGAGGCUAAACCCCGAUAGGCCAUGGCUCCUGGAAUGGGCUAUGGCUGAAAUCUAUAUGGCCCCAGGAUGGGACUGCGGCCGAUCAGGUUGUUGGUGGGGUAAUGGCCCACCAAGCCUAUAACCGGUGCGGGCUCUGAGAGGAGGAGCCCGGAGAUGGGCACUGAGACAAGGGCCCAGGUCCUAUGGGGCGCAGCAGGCGCGAAACCUCCGCAAUGGGCGAAAGCCCGACGGGGUCAGUCCGAGUGGUUCCCGCUGAGGGAACCUUUUGCCAGCUGUAAACAGGCUGGCGAAUAAGGGGUGGGCAAGUUUGGUGUCAGCCGCCGCGGUAAUACCAGCACCCCGAGUGGUCGGGACGAUUAUUGGGCCUAAAGCAUCCGUAGCCGGCCCAGUAAGUCCUCCGUUAAAUCCAACGGCUCAACCGUUGGGCUGCGGGGGAUACUGCUGGGCUAGGGGACGGGAGAGGCGAGGGGUAUUCCCGGGGUAGGGGUAAAAUCCACUGAUCCCGGGAGGACCACCAGUGGCGAAGGCGCCUCGCUAGAACGUGCCCGACGGUGAGGGAUGAAAGCUGGGGGAGCGAACCGGAUUAGAUACCCGGGUAGUCCCAGCCGUAAACGAUGUAGGCUCGGUGUUGGGCUGCCUCAGUGGCAGCCCAGUGCCGCAGGGAAGCCGUUAAGCCUACCGCCUGGGGAGUACGGCCGCAAGGCUGAAACUUAAAGGAAUUGGCGGGGGAGCACCACAAGGGGUGAAGCCUGCGGUUUAAUUGGAGUCAACGCCGGG